Etheostoma spectabile (orangethroat darter) is the source of this 231-nucleotide long non-coding RNA. RefSeq lists it as uncharacterized. NCBI's taxonomy places the organism in Eukaryota, Metazoa, Chordata, Actinopteri, Perciformes, Percidae. The transcript has 2 exons. The record is from RefSeq and is a predicted model, not a curated record.
AAGAACAUUCAUUAUUAUUUACACAAACUACAAAAACACGGCAUCAUCUGCGUAGAGAGAAAUAAAAUGAGUGUGAUCUGCAGUUCAAUCUCAGAAAUAUUUACAUAACAAGUAAAGAGAAGCCAAAAGAAAAUAACUCCAAAUGACUAAAAUGUCAUAGACAUGAUUACUAACUUUACAACAUGAAAUAAAUCACAUUUUGUAAUUUAUUUCAACAGUGAGUAUGUUUGA